Molecule: long non-coding RNA, 4501 nt
Organism: Chinchilla lanigera (long-tailed chinchilla)
Lineage: Eukaryota; Metazoa; Chordata; Mammalia; Rodentia; Chinchillidae
Exons: 3
Source: RefSeq, a predicted model, not a curated record
CUCAUGGCCCAGUACAGGCUUAAAUUUGCAAUCUUCUUGCCUUGGCUUCCUGAGUGCUGGCACUACAGGUGUGGGACACUGUGCCCAGCCAAUAUAUAUGAUUUCUGAACAUUUUCUGUCAGGUCUCAAAACCAGCACUGGGGAUCGAACUCAGGGGUCCAGCGUGCCCCAUAAGCAUUCGACCACUGAGGUCCACCCCAGCCCCUUCUUCCUGUUAUUAACAUCACCUUGAAAAACCUGGAGUCACGAAGAGAUAACCAGGAGCUACCUGCAAACUGAAGUCCCCGCAAACCAUACAUGCAGUUAUAUAAACCAUGGAAGGUAAUUCUUUCUCCACUUUUGUAACUGCGAGAAAACACACCAGAAGUGGGCACAUGGGAAAGACAGCAUUUAUAACAAACAUUUAUGUUUUAACAGGGGUCCUUUAACUCUCUCCUCCUCCCCUAAUAAAAUUCGGCUUUCUGAUGAAUGGAACAGUCCUUUCAUGUUGGUUUUGUCUCUUGCAGUUAACAACACACACAAAAAUUACAAUCAUUCAUUCCCUCCAUUUUAUGUGGCUUUCAGAGGCCAAAUGAGCAACGGGACCAUCUUGUUAAUAAAUCUUCCCAGUGAAGCUGGUUUGCUGUUUGAUUUAAAUGUGAAAAUGUGAAGUACUAUAUUUUAAAAAGAGCUUUAAAGGACCACUCCGGUACUUCUGACAGUAACAAAUUUCUCCACACUGCAUUUCCUCAAGUGUAAUGGAAGGUGAUCAAAGCCAGGUCUUCCACAGUUCUGCCAGCUGAGAGUAUCUGAGGUGGCUCCACUAUCACCGCUGCUGGCCUGACAUCAGGCUGUUGUUUAAUAGGACGAGAGGGAAGGCCGCCAAUUUCCACUGCGCCCAGGACCACAGUGGCCUGCCAGCCUCCCUCGGCAGUGUGUGAGCAAGAACGAACUCGUUCUUGGUGGCAUGUGCGUGCAUGCAUCAGCUCACGUGCAGAGGCACGUAGACAGAAGAGCUGCGCGAUGUGUGCACACCACACUCACUUCCCGUCUUUUUACGUGCUCACUAUGACAACUAAGAAGAAUGAAUCAAAAUGCAACUUUCACUUUUGUUCCUCAGAAGAGGGGAGGGACUGUCAGUCUCAAAAACUGCAUCCUCAGUUUGACUUUUAAAAAGUAUCUUGAAAGCAAAGCAGUCAAUCCUUCCAGUUUUCACAGUAGUAUCCUCCAGUUCUACAAACUUGAAAAGAACUGGGCACAACAUAUUCAAAGCGUAAGAUGCAUUCAGAUGUGGUGACCAAGUCUUACAGGAACAACAUCAUUUUAACAGUGGUUGGAGCUGAUUCUACCUAUAAAUGCAGGAAGUUCUCAAGUAUCAACAUAUGCUAACUGAAUCUGCUUUACAUUUAUUACUAUCAACGAAAAAAGUCUAGUUUAUUAACAUUUGCCCACUCCUGAAAUUUCCUGGCAGAAAGCAAUCUGGUCAAUCACAUUUAGAAGGGCAAAAAGAAAACCCGGAAUUGCAUUCAUUACAAUCUUCCUUUAACUAUCCAUCAACUUCUGGGACAGCAGUCAGGUCAGGAAUAAUGUGGGAGCAGAUCAUGUUCAUAACUGGCAAUGAAACUUUACUCCGGACAAUAAAUCUGGUGUAAAUCCUCGCAUUAGAGCACUGAAGAAGAGGCACUGGAAAAUUCUGGUACCUGGAAAUGCGUUUGCUCUGGUCCUGUGAUGGUGCCUGAAACAGUGGGAAACUGGCUCAGUGAUAAAAUGAAGAAGCCAAAGAAGAGCCCCGAUUUCUGUUUUUAGCUCUGUGGCUGACUGCAGAAUAAACCUAGGUAAAGUACAUGGCUGAGAUGUGCCUUAUUCUCAGGAUGAGGAUAAUAACAGCAAAUAAUAUUUUCUGAUUUUUAGGAGUACGGAAGAAAAAAGGAAGCUAACAAGUGAAAAGUUUUACGCAGCACUUCCCAACAGGAAUUAGAAGAGAACAAAACACAGUCUGGGGAUCCAUCCUGGUACUGGACAACUCCUCUGAGAAAUGGGGAGGAAAACACGCUACACAAGCAGGAAGUGUUAUUAGCACUUCCUCCAUUCAUAGUUAAGACACACACACACACAGCACCACUAACCUAAUCCACUUACCACUCAGUGAACACGAAAUCAGCUGUGGGAAGCACAACAGUGAUGGGAAGACAGAAGUGCCCCUGUACCCAAGGUUUUCAUGCUAAGAUAGGAAAGAUGGACCCACGAUUCAGCAUACGAUAAAACUCAACUUAUGUACGAGUACUUUGCCAAAUUAUAGACAGUUUCUGACAGUGAAGUUUUUCAACUGUAAUACAAUUCCAAUAAUAUCCUCAAACCAUCCUUUGUUUUUGUCCAGCUGCAAAUUCAUUUAAAAAUUAAGAAAAGAAGUAUUCUCAAAACUCAAACUGACCAGUAAAGGGACAGUCACACAGCACACAAGAGAAGAUGCACACACUGAGUGGCAAAAUCCUUAAUCCUUGUAAAAUACUUACCAUGGUAAAAUGGACACGAGGCUCUCAGACUUUGCCAGGGUAUUUGGAUCUUUCAGAAAUAGUAACAAAUCAUAUCCUCCAAGUAUAAUCUUUUUUCCAAACAAUUUUUUAAGGUAUUAUACAUAUAUUUUUCUUAGCUGGUUAACAAUUUCUCACUGCUCAUGCUGUAAUUUUCAGUUAGAAUAAGAACUCCUCGGUGAAACAUGGGAAUAGAUGACCCAGGACAAAAGCAGUUUGCCCUGAGAUUACACUGCACACCACUUGAGGUUGUAGAGCUUGCCUCUCGGAAGCUCCAAGUCAGAAUACAGAAAUGACAGGAUCAAGAAAUAAAGACAAAGCUCUGGCAAUGACUUUAUCAUCAGAGCAUAAGUCUUCUAUAGCAAGAGGCAGACAAUAUGCUCCCGACUCCUAUUGCUUGCCAAUCACUAGCAUUUAGAUCUGUGUCCCAUUUUCUGAUAGACUAAGAAGCAGGGACAAGAAACACAGUCAAAAACAUUUCUCAAAGUGGGGGAGAGAAAGAAGUUGAGUCAGUUCAGCUGCGUAGAACUGGCUGGUUUUAUCUGCUUGGUGGAGUAUCUUAAGACAGGAAUAAAAUUAAGACAGGAAAAAAUUAAGACAGGAAAAAAAAAAUAAAAAAAUCCAAGCAUUAAUCCCAGCAAUUGUAUGAUUAACCAUGUAGCUAUGAACAAACAUUUCCUACAUAUUCCUGUCACAUCAUGGCAAAGUCAGCCUCAUUCUAGUUAGGAAAUUAAAUUCUGAUUUGUUUGAGCUUUUGGAUCUUGAUCUUUGCUUUUUUUUUUUUUUUUUUAAUACUAGGGAAUGGAAAUUAAAGUAAAAUCUGGUUAUGAGAUGGGAAACAACAGCCAUUUCACUUUUCAUUUCAGUGUCUGAGGCACUGGUAGCAAAUCUUAGCUAAACACCAAAAACACUUGCUCCACAGCAAAGGGAAUCUUGUCCAAAAAACUUUUCUGCAACACACUAAACUUAAAAACUUGCACAAAUGAAACAAAGCUUCAAACCUGAAAAAUCCUACUUCAUCCUUUUUCCCCAAAACUCUAGGACUUUCAACUAAAAUUACAGUCACAAUGUUGCUUCUCUGGUUUUUUUUUAUGACAAUUUAUUUCAGAGUUUUGUUUUCAUUGUGCUACUUGAACAUAUAUCCAGGAUCUUCAUUUGAGAUACACAAGAAAGAUCAACACACACUUAAAAACAUCCCUCUAGCUGAAACAAUUCACGCCAGCAGAAGCUCUGAAUUAUGGAUGAAGCUAUUCAAACUCUGAGUAUUCUUAGCAUUCGCAGAGCUUAACAGACCAAUAUAUACUUCAUCAGUGCUAAAUCUGAAGACAAAGUGAAAAAACCAUAACUGAAGAGUGACAAGCCAAGGUCCAGCAUCCGCAGAAUGAAGAGCGACACCAGACAUUCCACUCUUCUCCUACUCCCUUGGCAUGGAGGUCAGCAGGAACUAAGCAUUCUACUUGGAGAAGUCAAAAAAGAUUAACAGUUUUCUUUUAAGAAAAUAUUCAAAUAUUCCCUCACUUUGAAAGAAAAUUUUGAGAGAUCUUCCCACAUAAUUGGGGUGUAAUGAUUUUGCAGGACUUUACAGAUAUACCAGGAAUGAUUAGAAAUAGCCAUUGGGGAAGACAUGCCGAUCCUUCUUACCUCUUUGGAAAGGGCACACCUGAACAAAAACCCUCCACUGUUCACACACAGUGGAAAACACAUCUUUGGAGGAUGUGUUGUGUAUGUGAGAGGAUUCAAGACCAAACAAUCCAAAAAAGGCUUGCUGGAAAGCUAAGCACAACUCUUUUUUGAAAAGAAGUUCUGGAGAAACCAGCACAGAACACUACUGUAGUAAGCCUAGACUAUCCUGAAAUACCAAAGACCUGGCCUGUCCUGACCAAUAAGCUACUAUAUUUCAAAGAACCUCCUAUUCUGCUGACACUCCCACAGGUCAUGAUGCUCUUCUUUUUGUUUGUUGUUUGUUUUUGAGACAGGUUCUCACUAUGUAG